CCUACGGGGGGCUGCAGUGGGGAAUAUUGCGCAAUGGGCGAAAGCCUGACGCAGCGACGCCGCGUGAAGGAAGAAGGCCUUCGGGUUGUAAACUUCUUUUGUAAGGGACGAUUGUGACGGUACCUUACGAAUAAGGACCUGCUAACUACGUGCCAGCAGCAGCGGUAAUACGUAGGGUCCGAGCGUUGUCCGGAUUUAUUGGGCGUAAAGAGUAUGUAGGCGGUUUCUUAAGUCGGAUUUUAAAUCUCCAGGCUUAACUUGGAUUUUGGAUUCGAAACUAGGAAACUACGAGGAUGGCAGGGGCAAGUGGAAUUAGUGGAGUAGCAGUGAAAUGCGUUGAUCUCACUAAGAACACCAAUGGCGAAGGCAGCUUGCUAGGUCAUCUCUGACGCUGAGAUACGAAAGCGUGGGUAGCGAACGGGCUUAGAUACCCGGGUAGUC
This 441-nucleotide ribosomal RNA is filed under the name uncultured bacterium. RNAcentral's name for it is "bacterial SSU rRNA". It matches the Rfam family "Bacterial small subunit ribosomal RNA", at positions 338 to 795 of the family's 1533-position model. The record is from RNAcentral.